UAGGGAAUAUUGGGCAAUGGGCGCAAGCCUGACCCAGCCAUGCCGCGUGCAGGAAGAAGGUCCUCUGGAUUGUAAACUGCUUUUCUCUGGGGAUAAUUGUGAGCUAUACGCUUACUUGAAGGUACCAGAGGAAUAAGCACCGGCUAACUCCGUGCCAGCAGCCGCGGUAAUACGGAGGGUGCAAGCGUUGUCCGGAUUUAUUGGGUUUAAAGGGUGCGUAGGCGGAUUGGUAAGUCAGUGGUGAAAGUUUGCAGCUCAACUGUAAAAUUGCCAUUGAUACUGUCAGUCUUGAGUGCAGUCGAGGUGGUUGGAAUGCGUAGUGUAGCGGUGAAAUGCUUAGAUAUUACGCAGAACACCAAUAGCGAAGGCAGAUCGCCAGGCUGUAACUGACGCUGAGGCACGAAAGUGUGGGGAUCGAACAG
RNAcentral lists this ribosomal RNA (422 nucleotides) under uncultured bacterium. RNAcentral's name for it is "bacterial SSU rRNA". It matches the Rfam family "Bacterial small subunit ribosomal RNA", at positions 355 to 775 of the family's 1533-position model. The record is from RNAcentral.